RNAcentral lists this non-coding RNA (185 nucleotides) under Acidobacteriota bacterium. RNAcentral's name for it is "6S RNA". It matches the Rfam family "6S / SsrS RNA". From Rfam's summary of the family: E. coli 6S RNA was the first non coding RNA to be sequenced, but its function was unknown until recently. It consists of 184 nucleotides that fold into an extended hairpin structure with a large single-stranded internal bulge. The record is from RNAcentral. Lineage: Bacteria; Pseudomonadati; Acidobacteriota.
CGGUCCCCGUAAGUUGACGGUUUCUUCGGAUCGCGCUUGAGCCAACAGCUCGUUCCAGGGAGCCUGGACUCCGCUGGCAGUGCGCAAGCUCGCUCUUCGCAGCGGGAAGCCUAAACCAGCGGGAGGGCACCCACUUGGUUGACCCGGCAUCAACCCGUCAUUUGAAGGGCCGUGUCGGGGACCUC